AGGCUUGCUACGGGUUCUGGCGGCCUUAAGCCGACCUGAAUCCUAGCGCCGGUGACGGUCCAUUUUGGGGUCGUUACAUAUUGGUAUCAGAGCCCUAGGUUCACAUGAUCGGACCUAUAGAGACAGUGUUGGGCUCAGACAGGUUAGAAGUGGUCAAGCACACUAGGAAAUCAUGUCCACUAGGAUAGGGUCUUGAGUCCUAUCUGC
RNAcentral lists this long non-coding RNA (207 nucleotides) under Manihot esculenta (cassava). RNAcentral describes it as "long non-coding RNA (MESC_LNC001746)". Lineage: Eukaryota; Viridiplantae; Streptophyta; Magnoliopsida; Malpighiales; Euphorbiaceae. The record is from RNAcentral.